GGUAGCAUGGCUGAGCGAACUAAGAUGCUGGAUUAAGGCUCUAGUUUCUUCAAGGGUGUGGGUUCGUAUCCCACUGCUUCCA
This 82-nucleotide transfer RNA is filed under the name Ovis aries (sheep). It matches the Rfam family "tRNA". From Rfam's summary of the family: Transfer RNA (tRNA) molecules are approximately 80 nucleotides in length. Their secondary structure includes four short double-helical elements and three loops (D, anti-codon, and T loops). Further hydrogen bonds mediate the characteristic L-shaped molecular structure. tRNAs have two regions of fundamental functional importance: the anti-codon, which is responsible for specific mRNA codon recognition, and the 3' end, to which the tRNAs corresponding amino acid is attached (by aminoacyl-tRNA synthetases). tRNAs cope with the degeneracy of the genetic code in two manners: having more than one tRNA (with a specific anti-codon) for a particular amino acid; and 'wobble' base-pairing, i.e. permitting non-standard base-pairing at the 3rd anti-codon position. The record is from Rfam by way of RNAcentral. Lineage: Eukaryota; Metazoa; Chordata; Mammalia; Artiodactyla; Bovidae.